This is a long non-coding RNA of Malus domestica (apple), 1665 nucleotides long. RefSeq lists it as uncharacterized. NCBI's taxonomy places the organism in Eukaryota, Viridiplantae, Streptophyta, Magnoliopsida, Rosales, Rosaceae. The record is from RefSeq and is a predicted model, not a curated record.
UCUUCCCUCUUGCCGUUCUCCCCGUUUUCAACUAGCCUUCGAACGAAAAACCCAACUUUCACAUGUUUUCUGGUGGUGGCCGGCCUGCAACCACAACUAUUUAGUUCAGGACACUCCUAACAACAUCAUUCGAGCUUUGAAUGCUCGAACCUACCCAUUGAUUGAAGAGUUCCAUAAGCACAGCUUGCGGCGUUUUUUCCGACGAGAAUCUGAUUUUAUUCUGGCCAAUUUCAGGCCUUUCUGACCUUUUUGUGGGUCUGGGGAAGUGGGCACUGAAGUUGGGUGGAUGAAAUCUUUUUCCUCCUCAGAUCACCACCACCCCCUGUUAGGUUUUUCUUUUUUAUUUCUUUUCUUUCUUCUUCGUUUUCUCUCUUCACUCUCGCACUUCUCUCCGUGACUCUGCUAGCGAUGACAACGAGUUGUUGCUGUCCGAACGCCUGUGAAUUGGACCUCAUUGUUACCGCUAGUCGUGUCCCGUUCAUCUCAGGAACAAGAAACAGCUAUUGCAUGCCUCAAAUCAUUACUGUUUCGACGAGGGUUAACUUAACCCAAUUUGUAUUUUGAUCUCUCUCUUUCUGCAUUUUCGAUAGGUUACAGUUUUUCAGGUUCUAUUGAAAGCCAUUGAUUUUGCGUUAAUUUGAGUCUUUGCGUUAUGAAUUCUGAUAUUUUGCGUUCAAUUUGGGUUUUUGGAAUUUCGAAUUUGUACCCUUUGCUCUAAUUAAUUUUGAUUUCGGCUGUUAUUGUUGGGUCUGAUUAAAUUUCAAACCUUUCGUUUUCGUUCUCAAAGUUUUUCAGUUCUAUCUAUUAAAUGUUUUCGUUCUCAAAAUUUUUGAGUUCUAUCUAUUAAAUAUCAGUUAAAAGACCCGCAUGUAUUUACAGAAAUCAUGUACAAUUAUUAUGUAUUUCAUUCUAAUUUUUGUUUGAUUUUUAACAGUGUUAUUUCAAAUAUGCUAUCAGCCAAGACAACAUGAUGGGACUAACGUAUUUUCCGCUUCAUUGAUGCAGAGAGAAAACAGUGGAAUGACGUUGAUGUUCAACAUCUUCGUUUGGAAAACAAGAUUUUUCCCAAUUUGAUGUGGAAUUAAUGGGAGUUGGAGAAAACCAGUGAAGAUCAAACUCUCUGAAUUCUUCUCUUUGUUUCUAAUUCUUAUGAAGGACUUUGAUAUUCUGCAUUUGGAACUUAGAAUCAAGGUUCUAACUGGUUACCAUAUUUCAGCAGCCACUUUGCUCCAGAUCUUUCCAGUUGAAAUUCCUCUCCUUCACCCUUUGCAUGUUGAAUUUCACAUCAUCAUCAUCUCCCUGGAGUUUGGUUCAUACUAAAUUUAGAUGGUUUCACUUCAUGAAGGCUAACUGUUUAUUUUAGGCCUGGAAUAUAAUUUCUUGGAGAAUGUACAUUGUUGAUGAUAGUUUUUCGAACAAUACUACCCCAAAAAUUCUCCUCAUGUUACCCUCAAUGUAGGCAUCGUAUAACCAUCAUCCAAACUUCUCAACCAUUUAAGGGGCUCAUUCCAACCAAUGUCAUUUGGUUGUAGAACAGCUUUGCAACUUUUUUUUGAUCUCUUAUAUUCUGAUUAGCAUUUUACUCUCUCUCUCUGUCUCUGUCUCUGUCUCUGUCUCUCUAAUUUUCUAUGCAUAUGAAUUGUUUAUUAAAUAUUUUUUUAUUAA